AACAGCCUGCCGUGUUCGUGAUGCCGAGACUUGUUUGCGCCAAUCACGUCACGAAGGGGGCCGGACCUCUGGAAGGGGUGCGUAUGCCGGGUUGCCGGAAACGCGCUAAACGGACAGGGCGCCCCCACUUGGUCACCAGACCAAACAAGGUAAGCACACGGCACGGCGGGUCGUAU
This 176-nucleotide non-coding RNA is filed under the name Dehalococcoidia bacterium. Its description in RNAcentral is "6S RNA". It matches the Rfam family "6S / SsrS RNA". From Rfam's summary of the family: E. coli 6S RNA was the first non coding RNA to be sequenced, but its function was unknown until recently. Lineage: Bacteria; Bacillati; Chloroflexota; Dehalococcoidia. The record is from RNAcentral.